CCUACGGGGGGCUGCAGUGGGGAAUAUUGGACAAUGGGCGAAAGCCUGAUCCAGCCAUGCCGCGUGUGUGAAGAAGGCCUUCGGGUUGUAAAGCACUUUCAGUGGGGAAGAAAGCCUUGGGGCUAAUACCCUCGAGGAAGGACAUCACCCACAGAAGAAGCACCGGCUAACUCCGUGCCAGCAGCCGCGGUAAUACGGAGGGUGCGAGCGUUAAUCGGAAUUACUGGGCGUAAAGCGCGCGUAGGCGGUCUGAUAAGCCGGUUGUGAAAGCCCCGGGCUCAACCUGGGAACGGCAUCCGGAACUGUCAGGCUAGAGUGCAGGAGAGGAAGGUAGAAUUCCCGGUGUAGCGGUGAAAUGCGUAGAGAUCGGGAGGAAUACCAGAGGCGAAGGCGGCCUUCUGGACUGACACUGACGCUGAGGUGCGAAAGCGUGGGUAGCAAACAGGAUUAGAUACCCCAGUAGUC
RNAcentral lists this ribosomal RNA (465 nucleotides) under Vreelandella stevensii. RNAcentral describes it as "partial 16S ribosomal RNA". It matches the Rfam family "Bacterial small subunit ribosomal RNA", at positions 338 to 795 of the family's 1533-position model. The record is from RNAcentral. Lineage: Bacteria; Pseudomonadati; Pseudomonadota; Gammaproteobacteria; Oceanospirillales; Halomonadaceae.